UAUAUAUAAGUACUAUAUACUUAUAUAUAGCCGUAAUUGGACGGCUGUCUCUACCCGAUACCGUAAAUAUCGGACUAUAAGUCAAAAAUGUGUCUAA
This 97-nucleotide non-coding RNA is filed under the name Tetragenococcus halophilus. RNAcentral describes it as "Guanine sequence". It matches the Rfam family "Purine riboswitch aptamer". From Rfam's summary of the family: Riboswitches are metabolite binding domains within certain messenger RNAs that serve as precision sensors for their corresponding targets. Allosteric rearrangement of mRNA structure is mediated by ligand binding, and this results in modulation of gene expression. The record is from RNAcentral. Lineage: Bacteria; Bacillati; Bacillota; Bacilli; Lactobacillales; Enterococcaceae. RNAcentral also lists the same sequence under 1 other name.